RNAcentral lists this long non-coding RNA (600 nucleotides) under Mytilus galloprovincialis (Mediterranean mussel). Lineage: Eukaryota; Metazoa; Mollusca; Bivalvia; Mytilida; Mytilidae. The record is from RNAcentral.
UGCAAGGGUUGUAUAGCCAGCUGAGGUCGUUAAAAACUCUCUUUCUUUUGUUGUUGCAGAUAGAUCUUGACCUGAUAAGCAAUUCUACCACAUGUCAGAUUUGCUCUAAAUGCUUUGGUUUUUGAGUGAUAAGCCAAAAACUGCAUUUUACCCCUAUGUUCUAUUUUUAGCCAUGGCGGCCAUCUUGAUUGGUUGGCCGGGUCACCGGACACAAUUUUUAAACUAGAUACCCCAAUGAUGAUUGUGGCCAAGUUUGGUUUAAUUUGUCCAGUAGUUUCAGAGGAGAAGAUUUUUGUAAAAGAUAACUAAGAUUUACGAAAAAUGGUUAAAAAUUGACUAUAAAGGGCAAUAACUCCUAAAGGGGUCAACAGACCAUUUUGGUCAUGGUUGACUUUUGUAGAUCUUACUUAGCUGAACAUUUUUGCUGUUUACAGUUUAUCUCUAUCUAUAAUAAUAUUCAAGAUAAUAAUCAAAAACAGCAAAAUUUCCUUAAAAUUACCAAUUCAGGGGCAGCAACCUAUCAACGAGUUGUCCGAUUCAUCUCAAAAUUUCAGGGCAGAUAGAUCUUGACCUGAUAAACAAUUUUACUACAUGUCAGAU